RNAcentral lists this transfer RNA (71 nucleotides) under Cordylochernes scorpioides. RNAcentral's name for it is "tRNA-Gly". It matches the Rfam family "tRNA". From Rfam's summary of the family: Transfer RNA (tRNA) molecules are approximately 80 nucleotides in length. Their secondary structure includes four short double-helical elements and three loops (D, anti-codon, and T loops). Further hydrogen bonds mediate the characteristic L-shaped molecular structure. tRNAs have two regions of fundamental functional importance: the anti-codon, which is responsible for specific mRNA codon recognition, and the 3' end, to which the tRNAs corresponding amino acid is attached (by aminoacyl-tRNA synthetases). tRNAs cope with the degeneracy of the genetic code in two manners: having more than one tRNA (with a specific anti-codon) for a particular amino acid; and 'wobble' base-pairing, i.e. permitting non-standard base-pairing at the 3rd anti-codon position. Lineage: Eukaryota; Metazoa; Arthropoda; Arachnida; Pseudoscorpiones; Chernetidae. The record is from RNAcentral.
GCAUCGAUGGUUCAGUGGUAGAAUGCUCGCCUGCCACGCGGGCGGUCGGGGUUCGAUUCCCGGCCGAUGCA